Molecule: ribosomal RNA, 435 nt
Filed under: uncultured bacterium
Lineage: Bacteria
Description: partial 16S ribosomal RNA
Rfam family: Bacterial small subunit ribosomal RNA
Source: RNAcentral
AACGAACGCUGGCGGCAUGCCUAACACAUGCAAGUCGAACGAUUGCCUUCGGGUGAUAGUGGCGCACGGGUGCGUAACGCGUGGGAAUCUGCCCUUAGGUUCGGAAUAACAGCUGGAAACGGCUGCUAAUACCGGAUGAUAUCGCGAGAUCAAAGAUUUAUCGCCUGAGGAUGAGCCCGCGUUGGAUUAGGUAGUUGGUGGGGUAAAGGCCUACCAAGCCGACGAUCCAUAGCUGGUCUGAGAGGAUGAUCAGCCACACUGGGACUGAGACACGGCCCAGACUCCUACGGGAAGGAGCAGUGGGGAAUAUUGGAAAAUGGGCGGAAGCCUGAUCCAGCAAUGCCGCGUGAGUGAUGAAGGCCCUAGGGUUGUAAAGCUCUUUUACCCGGGAAGAUAAUGACUGUACCGGGAGAAUAAGCCCCGGCUAACUCCGUG